GACGAACGCUGGCGGCGUGCCUAAUACAUGCAAGUUGAGCGAUGAAGCUUGGUGCUUGCACCAAUUUGAAGAGCAGCGAACGGGUGAGUAACGCGUGGGGAAUCUGCCUUUGAGCGGGGGACAACAUUUGGAAACGAAUGCUAAUACCGCAUACCAACUUUAAACAUAAGUUUUAAGUUUGAAAGAUGCAAUUGCAUCACUCAAAGACGACCCCGCGUUGUAUUAGCUAGUUGGUGAGGUAAAGGCCUACCAGGGCGAUGAUACAUAGCCGACCUGAGAGGGGGAUCGGCCACAUUGGGACUGGGACACGGCCCAAACGCCUACGGGAGGCAGCAGAAGGGAAUCUUCGGCAAUGGACGAAAGUCUGACCGAACAACGCCGCGUGAGUGAAGGAGGUUUUCGGAUCGUAAAACUCUGUUGGUAGAGAAGAACGUUGGUGGGAGUGGAAAGCGCAUCAAGUGACGGUAACUACCCAGAAAGCGACGGCUAACUACGUG
RNAcentral lists this ribosomal RNA (497 nucleotides) under uncultured bacterium. RNAcentral's name for it is "partial 16S ribosomal RNA". It matches the Rfam family "Bacterial small subunit ribosomal RNA", at positions 28 to 507 of the family's 1533-position model. The record is from RNAcentral.